Molecule: ribosomal RNA, 206 nt
Filed under: uncultured bacterium
Lineage: Bacteria
Description: partial 16S ribosomal RNA
Rfam family: Bacterial small subunit ribosomal RNA
Source: RNAcentral
GACAGAGGGUGCGAACGUUGUUCGGAAUUACUGGGCGUAAAGCGCAUGUAGGCGGCAGCGCAAGUCGGGCGUGAAAUCCCACGGCUCAACCGUGGAAGUGCACUCGAAACUGCGCAGCUAGAGUCCUGGAGAGGAAGGUGGAAUGACUUGGUGUAGAGGUGAAAUUCGUAGAUAUCAAGCGGAACACCGGGUGGCGAAGGCGGCCU